GAUGAACGCUGGCGGCGUGCCUAAUACAUGCAAGUCGAGCGAACAGACGAGGAGCUUGCUCCUCUGACGUUAGCGGCGGACGGGUGAGUAACACGUGGAUAACCUACCUAUAAGACUGGGAUAACUUCGGGAAACCGGAGCUAAUACCGGAUAAUAUAUUGAACCGCAUGGUUCAAUAGUGAAAGACGGUUUUGCUGUCACUUAUAGAUGGAUCCGCGCCGCAUUAGCUAGUUGGUAAGGUAACGGCUUACCAAGGCGACGAUGCGUAGCCGACCUGAGAGGGUGAUCGGCCACACUGGAACUGAGACACGGUCCAGACUCCUACGGGAGGCAGCAGUAGGGAAUCUUCCGCAAUGGGCGAAAGCCUGACGGAGCAACGCCGCGUGAGUGAUGAAGGUCUUCGGAUCGUAAAACUCUGUUAUUAGGGAAGAACAAAUGUGUAAGUAACUAUGCACGCCUUGACGGUACCUAAUCAGAAAGCCGCGGCUAACUACGUG
Molecule: ribosomal RNA, 497 nt
Filed under: uncultured bacterium
Lineage: Bacteria
Description: partial 16S ribosomal RNA
Rfam family: Bacterial small subunit ribosomal RNA
Source: RNAcentral